Molecule: ribosomal RNA, 483 nt
Filed under: uncultured bacterium
Lineage: Bacteria
Description: partial 16S ribosomal RNA
Rfam family: Bacterial small subunit ribosomal RNA
Source: RNAcentral
AUUGAACGCUGGCGGCAGGCCUAACACAUGCAAGUCGAGCGGAUGAAGGGAGCUUGCUCCUGGAUUCAGCGGCGGACGGGUGAGUAAUGCCUAGGAAUCUGCCUGGUAGUGGGGGAUAACGUCCGGAAACGGGCGCUAAUACCGCAUACGUCCUGAGGGAGAAAGUGGGGGAUCUUCGGACCUCACGCUAUCAGAUGAGCCUAGGUCGGAUUAGCUAGUUGGUGGGGUAAAGGCCUACCAAGGCGACGAUCCGUAACUGGUCUGAGAGGAUGAUCAGUCACACUGGAACUGAGACACGGCCCAGACCCCUACGGGAGGCAGCAGGGGGGAAUUUUGGACAAGGGGCGAAAGCCUGCUCCAGCCAGGCCGGGGGGGGGAAGAAGUGCUUCGGAUUGAAAAGCACUUUAAGUUGGGGGGAAGGGAAGUAAGUUAAUACCUUGCUGUUUUGACGUUACCAAAAAAAAAAGCACCGGCUAACUUGGG